CAUUUCAUGCACUUAGUAUUUGAGAGAUAAAUUAGUUAUUAGACAAACUUGAUUAAAACUGUCACGUCAUUAAAUAUGGCUAAAUAAACCUAAGCCUCACCUUUUCCAACCAAUCCAAGACAUUUCCCCCUAACCUUAACCUUCAGUCAUUGUUUUCCUUUUUCUAAACUUCAGCAAUUUCCAACUCCUGGCCCAAACCAGUUGAUAUUGUCCAUAUCAAACAUGAGACGGCAAAAUAUCAGAGAACCGUCCCACGGCAUCGUAGACACUUCGUUAUGAUAUUGUGGUGUUGAUUUAAAAUCAGUCUGUUUUAUUUUGGUCGUUCAGGUCAAAGAGGCUGAUCCUCCAGAGAGGCCUGGACUGGGCUGAUGUCAACAUUUACUUACAGGUUAAAGGAAAGAUGGAGAAGUUAUGAUGAACCUCGUCCCCUGAAGAAUCCAGAAACCACUGAUGCAGUUAAAGGUGCAUUAUGGCAGAGCUUCUGGACUGUCAGGACCUUCUAUAAUCCUAGGACGGUGAGACACGAC
This 527-nucleotide long non-coding RNA is filed under the name Neogobius melanostomus (round goby). Its description in RNAcentral is "lncRNA (ENSNMLG00000026786.1)". The record is from RNAcentral. Lineage: Eukaryota; Metazoa; Chordata; Actinopteri; Gobiiformes; Gobiidae.